RNAcentral lists this ribosomal RNA (570 nucleotides) under Triticum aestivum (bread wheat). Its description in RNAcentral is "partial small subunit ribosomal RNA". The record is from RNAcentral. Lineage: Eukaryota; Viridiplantae; Streptophyta; Magnoliopsida; Poales; Poaceae.
AUGUGUACAUCCACGAAGCGCCUCCUGUCUUCGUCCAAAGACACACUUCACUUCAAGCUUUGUGACUGCGUCGAUGAUCGCCUAGUAGGAAUUCUCAAGUACGACCUGAGCACUAAUUGCUUAUCAUUGAUUGAUAUGCCGCUUGCUGAUGAUGUUAUCCUCAUGGCGAUGGAGGAUGACAGUUUGGGGUUUGCACAUGUGGUUGGGUUAAUCCUCAAUCUGUGGUCAAGGCACAUGGGUUCUGACGGAGUUGCAUCAUGGACUCAGCGUACAGUCAUCAAUAUCAACAACAUCCUUCACAUUCGAAAUCCAAAGAAAAGACUUAGGCUGAUUGGAUCUGUGAAAGGCACCGAUAUCAUUUUCGUGACCACGGAUCUUGGAAUCUACAAGAUUAAUCUGAAGUCACUACAGUGGGAGAGAGAAAAGUUUCAAGCUUUCAUCCCAUACAUGAGUUUCUACAAUUCACAAGCAAGCAAUGUUGCUGAAGAGUGUAGCACGCGAACUGGAUCUCGAGCUAUAAGUUCAGUGAACUAUAGGAUAUGGGGCUGCAUGGCUAUGAAGAUCUCAUAG